This is a non-coding RNA of Solanum lycopersicum (tomato), 1862 nucleotides long. The record is from RefSeq and is a predicted model, not a curated record. Lineage: Eukaryota; Viridiplantae; Streptophyta; Magnoliopsida; Solanales; Solanaceae.
GAGCCCAAGUAAGAUCUUAAAGCACAGUUUGGGCCUCUGUGGAUCACAUCAGAAGAUUAACACCACGUCAGUUGAUAUAUCUCAGCUCGCGCGUGGACUCCACGGCAUCAAAUUCGACCCGGAUCCGGCUCUAAUAGGUCGGGUUUCUGUUUUCACACUUUUGGAGCUGCACCUGAAGAGAUAGCUCAUUGCCCCGUCGAAGCGGAAGCGCUUGCUGAAGAAGAAGAUCACGGUCAUGGCAAUGGUAGAAAUAGUAACGAUAAUACAAAUAGCGUAAAUGAAUAUUGUUCUUUCAAAUCAGUAGCUAAAAUCAUUGUUUCUGUUGAUCCGCUCUUCUCCGAGGACUCUUCGUGUUUUCAAGUAGGAAUUCUACAUAACUAUGGCAGAAGAGUCAAUAUCAUGUAUCUGGCAUGGCUAACGUCCCACCAGCAAGUCUCAUAGACGACUUCCCUGAGCAAAUUGUCGAAAAGAGUCAUUGAUAACAAUCUUCUUAGGGGUGGUCUAUAAGCAUAAGUGAGAAUCAAAGUGAAAAAAAUAAGAGAUGCUGGGAUUUUCAUACGGAGAAGUAUUUCUGUUGCUUGGUGCUACUGCUGCUCUUAUUGGACCUAAAGAUCUACCAAUCAUCGCAAGAACACUAGGCAGAUUUGCUGGGCGUUCCAUUGGUUAUGUUCAAUUGGCCCGUGGCCAGUUAGAAAGUGUCAUGCAGCAGUCCCAAGCUCGCCAGGUGCAUAAGGAACUGCAAGAUACCAUGGCUCAACUAGAAGCUAUACGCCAUGAAAUUCGAACAAUCUCUUUCAUGAAUCCUGGUCCACUGACAUCAAGGCUAGUGGACAACAUCAACACUACAGCUGGGGAUAAUACGACUGCAAAUGGACCUCAAAUAUCUAUUGAAGACAGCACAAUCGUUGAAAAUGGACCUAAAAAAUUUGAUGAAGAGAUUACAAUAGUUGAAAAUAAACUUCAAAAAUCUGGUAAAGAGAGCAAAACAGAUACUAUCACACCUACAGAGCAUAAUUCAAGGAACUCAGCUUUAUCUGAUAUGCACAGCCAAGCAGCUGCUUAUGUAAGAUUGGCAGAGAUGGCUCCUUUGAAAUCUGUAUCUAUAGAGAAAGAAGGUCUGAGUGAACUGACUGAUGAAUCUGGCAGUAUUGUUGUACUUCCUGUCUCUGCUGAAAGCGCAGGAUUGUUGCCAAACCGUAAAGAUGGAGCAAAAGGGUCUGACAUUGUCUUAGAAGCAAUACUGGAGGCAGAUGUGGCAAAGAAUGCCAAAGAAUUUUUCUCACAGCCACAAAACCAAUUAAAAAGUGAAUGAAGAGUUUUUGAAAGAGAUGGUGAAUAAACUCUGCAUGUGUAACAAAAGAGGAGGGAACCAAGAGAACAUUUUAGCUGAAGCCAGAGUAUAAGAAAUCUGCGAAGAAUACAGCACACCAUGUUUUUUGGUAUGGCAUGUUUACACCUGAUUUCUUGAGCUGAGGGUCUAUCAGAAACAAACUCUCUACCUAUGAAGUAGCGCUAAGAUAUAAAAAGGACAAUCUGUUGGACAAAGCAUUUUAUAUUCAUGAUCCGGAGAAGGGCCGUACCUCUAUGGGUAUGAUGUAGAUGCUUCCAGGGCUCGAAUUCAUGACUUGUCUACUUGCUGGCCAUUGUGUGUAAAUGGAAACAUGCAUGCAUUAUGCAUACAUAUAAAAUCUAUAUGACUCGCUUAAAUGUUUUUUAUUCUUUUUUGGCGUGAAGUCAAACACUCAAAAUCCUUUUUAUGAUUGAGUACUAAGAGCCUUGAUUAUUCACGUAAUUAAGAUUGCAUCAAAGUUAUAUUACUGUAUAAUUCACUCCAAACAAAAAAAAGGGCAGUUAGUCAUGAA